CACUCCUGCGGGAGGCAGCAGUGGGGAAUAUUGCACAAUGGGCGCAAGCCUGAUGCAGCCAUGCCGCGUGUAUGAAGAAGGCCUUCGGGUUGUAAAGUACUUUCAGCGGGGAGGAAGGCAAUACGGUUAAUAACCGUGUUGAUUGACGUUACCCGCAGAAGAAGCACCGGCUAACUCCGUGCCAGCAGCCGCGGUAAUACGGAGGGUGCAAGCGUUAAUCGGAAUUACUGGGCGUAAAGCGCACGCAGGCGGUCUGUCAAGUCGGAUGUGAAAUCCCCGGGCUCAACCUGGGAACUGCAUUCGAAACUGGCAGGCUUGAGUCUUGUAGAGGGGGGUAGAAUUCCAGGUGUAGCGGUGAAAUGCGUAGAGAUCUGGAGGAAUACCGGUGGCGAAGGCGGCCCCCUGGACAAAGACUGACGCUCAGGUGCGAAAGCGUGGGGAGCAAACAGGAUUAGAAACCCGGGUAGUCCCAUG
This 474-nucleotide ribosomal RNA is filed under the name uncultured organism. RNAcentral's name for it is "partial 16S ribosomal RNA". It matches the Rfam family "Bacterial small subunit ribosomal RNA", at positions 334 to 799 of the family's 1533-position model. The record is from RNAcentral.